CUUUUUCCUCAUGGUAGUCACUUGCGGUCCAUUGCUCACGAAGACACGAAAGAAUACUCCGGUUGGAACUUUAUUGAAGCUAUAUGUUAAAAACAUCCUAAUGAUUGAUUCUGUACUUAGUCUGAAAUGUUUCUUCGACCGGUAAUAUCACUUUUUGAAGUUUUUGUCCAAUAUAAUGCUGACCAGAAUUAGCGUUUGGAUAUGUAUAUGGACAUAAUUAAUGGACAUUUUCGAACAAAACAAACAUUUAUUGUGGACCUGAGAUUCCUGAAGUGCUUUCUGAUGUAGAUCAUCAAAGCCUGUGUUCUGUUUGGCCUAAGACAUCAUUUGUGACUGCUGUCAGAAUCUGUCGAUGCAAAGCCAGGCAGUACUGACCAGAUGCUUGAAACCUGAUCUGCCUUGCACAAUUCAGUGUGAGGAUAGAUAGAGGGAACAGAGAAGCCACAGAGACAAGUGUGCCAAAAAGACAUCAAGGUUUUCGAGAAUCUCAGUUACUCAAACAUCUAACCAGUACAGGGUGUAUUGGGCUUUCCUCGUACUCUUGAGGAAGACUAUAGUCAGCAGAGACUGCAGUGGCCACAAGCACAUCAUCACUACCGGUUUCCACUGACUUCGUCACCCGAUCCUAGCAGAUUCUCACUGGAAAACUCCUAGGCGUGGUGCAAUGUGUAUCGGAAAAGGCUAACGUGCUUCAACAGACUUGGUCCUGCUUUUAAGAUAUCGCCCUGCAACGACCUCUCUCUCAGCAAACUCAAAGGACCUCUGACAUGAUGUCCAAAC
Long non-coding RNA from Oncorhynchus tshawytscha (Chinook salmon), 780 nucleotides. The record is from Ensembl. NCBI's taxonomy places the organism in Eukaryota, Metazoa, Chordata, Actinopteri, Salmoniformes, Salmonidae.